UACGUAGGGUGCGAGCGUUGUCCGGAAUUACUGGGCGUAAAGGGCGCGUAGGCGGCAAUUCAAGUCAUCUGUGAAAUCUCCGGGCUUAACUCGGAACGGUCAGAUGAUACUGCUUUGCUAGAGUGCGGAAGGGGCAAUCGGAAUUCUUGGUGUAGCGGUGAAAUGCGUAGAUAUCAAGUGGAACACCAGUGGCGAAGGCGAAUCCCUGGAAAAUACCUGACACUGAGGCACGAAAGCUAGGGGAGCAAACAGG
RNAcentral lists this ribosomal RNA (253 nucleotides) under uncultured bacterium. RNAcentral's name for it is "partial 16S ribosomal RNA". It matches the Rfam family "Bacterial small subunit ribosomal RNA", at positions 524 to 776 of the family's 1533-position model. The record is from RNAcentral.